This is a long non-coding RNA of Erythranthe guttata (spotted monkey flower), 975 nucleotides long. RefSeq lists it as uncharacterized. The record is from RefSeq and is a predicted model, not a curated record. Lineage: Eukaryota; Viridiplantae; Streptophyta; Magnoliopsida; Lamiales; Phrymaceae.
UUUGAUUCUUAUCUUUUUCAUUUUUAUUAUAAAUCAUAUGUAAUUUAUUUUUUGUAUUUAUUUGAAGAUGAUUCAAAAUGCCUCAACUGUGAGAUUUGUGAAAAAUUAAUAUUAGAAUCUUUUUUUUUGAAUUAAUUUAAUUUUUUAUUUUGUUUGAUUCUUAUCUUUUUCAUUUUUAUUAUAAAUCAUAUGCAAUUUAUUUUUUGUAUUUAUUUGAAGAUGAUUUGAAAUGCCUCAAGUGUAAGAGCUUUGUUUGUCUUUAGUAAAAAUUUAACUAGUAGUGGUUAUUUACAUGGGUGGUUUGAGUAAGGUGAAUAUACAGUUAUAUUUAGUCAUAUACAGUCAUAUAUAGUCAGUCAUAUGUAGUCAUGUAUAGUCAUGACUACAUAUAACUAUACAUGACUAUAAUACUUGUAGUACACCAUAGUCAUUUGUAUCGAUUUUAGUACAAUAAAUUUAUCACAAAAAAAAAAAAUCAUGGUUUUUUGUAUUUUUCAUGUAAUGUAAUUUGAAUUUUGCAGGUAUUUUUUGAGUUCACCAAAGUAUCUUUUGUACAACCAUCAUCGAAUUUUGCAGUUAUUUUUUGAGUUUUGGUUUUAAUAUUUUUUCUUUUUUUUUUUUCGUGUGAAGCCGUGAGUUUAAUUUUAGGAGUCGACUUGUACAUAAAACGCGAUUGUUGUGGCAAGAAAUAUAAAAAAAAAACAACUUGAAACUUGUUCCUGGUGGUGGUGCGACAAAACUGACUGUUCAUCCAUUGAAGGCAUAGAAAAGGUCUUGGUGUUUGAACUACUAUGUAGUAAGUUUUUGCAGAGUGGAUUGUGUUCGUUGUUCAAAACAAGCGGUUAUCGUGUUGACAAGUGCGAUUUGAGUCAAAUUUAGUCGUAUAGAUAACUGUAGUCAUGUAUAGUUCCAUGUAGUUAUAUAUAUUUAUAUACAAGCUAUGUGGUUUUUCUGAUGUAUAGUGAUCUUGAUGAU